This 67-nucleotide transfer RNA is filed under the name human gut metagenome. It matches the Rfam family "tRNA". From Rfam's summary of the family: Transfer RNA (tRNA) molecules are approximately 80 nucleotides in length. Their secondary structure includes four short double-helical elements and three loops (D, anti-codon, and T loops). The record is from RNAcentral. RNAcentral also lists the same sequence under 2 other names.
CCUGUAGCUCAGUUGGAUAGAGCAACGGCCUUCUAAGCCGUGGGCCGUGGGUUCGAGCCCCUCCAGG